Molecule: microRNA precursor, 78 nt
Filed under: Schistosoma margrebowiei
Lineage: Eukaryota; Metazoa; Platyhelminthes; Trematoda; Strigeidida; Schistosomatidae
Description: mir-3492 microRNA precursor family
Rfam family: mir-3492 microRNA precursor family
Source: Rfam by way of RNAcentral
AGCUUUUCGAAUCCGUGCUGAUAUUUCUUCAGACACUAACCCAUUAGGGCUGAUCAGACUCCCAAGAUAAAUGAGGUU